Molecule: long non-coding RNA, 3345 nt
Organism: Anolis carolinensis (green anole)
Lineage: Eukaryota; Metazoa; Chordata; Lepidosauria; Squamata; Anolidae
Source: Ensembl
AGCCUUUAGCAGCUGACGAAACACACGCUCAGCACAGCCCGGCAGUCCUCACCUUCACAGGAAUUUAUGGCACUUUUAUGGCUUUUCCUUUGUACCUUCGCCUCGUAAAUCACUUCGAAGCCCAGCACGCUCCACUGCGAAGCACUGCUUUUUCUGCUACGGGCAAAGCUUGCUUCCACCAAAGACAAUCUCUCCCCCUCCAGCAGAUUAAGCACGGCUCACUGGAACGGCUUCCUUCUCACAGCUCACAGCUCAGCUCACCACUCAGCUCCCAGACCUCUGGCACCACACAGACUGGUCAGUAUACUGGGUACACUGGAAACUAGUCUGGUUCUGGCACAGUCGCAGGUUCUGGAGUAGGCUAUGGUGCUGAUCCAGCUGGUCCUUCUGGAUUCUUCUGAACACUGGCGCAGGUCUGGGCCCAUAAUCACUGUCAAAGUGUGCAGUUUGGAUAAACACACAUGCAGGGGAAGAUCAACGAAGAAUCACUGGCACCAAUAAAGAGGCUGAAGCCUGUUUGACUAUCUACAAAAGGUUUACUAACAAACGGAAAAUUCUCAAGAUGAUAUAUACAGACAGAGUGCAGAGAGGAGAGAGCAGAGGGCAGAGAGAAGAACAGAUAACACAGGGAGCUGUUUAUAAUCACCUCUGCUGUCUGAUGCAAUACACAGUUAACACUUUACACACUAGCAUAGUGGACAGCAGACAGCAUGAUGCAAUCUACAGCUCACAUUGCAACACUAUAACUCAAUUACAUUUAAACAACUCUAUAUACAAUCAUUCCCACUCCAACACUUAUACCUCCAACCCAAUUCAGAAGCAAUUCCCACAUUCUCUCUGGGUUUGGUGGAGGCUCAAAACAAUCAUUUAUGGCAGAAGUUAAAACAUUUUCCAUGUUUUAUCCUCUUGGGCAUGCCAUCACUGCAGCACUGUAAAUGAGGUAAUACUGCCAACUAGGCACUUACAACUCUAGCCUGAUGCAAAAGCACUCCCCACAUUCUCUCUAAGAUUGUUGGAGGCUCACAGUUAUUGCUUAUUAGGACUGUGCAAAAAGUCAUUUGCACCGAAUAUGUUGGAUCUAUUUCAUAAGAUUCGUACAUAUAACGCGAUAUUAAGAAACACAGGUGGUGCCCAUGCAAAAAAACACAUUUCAAAACUGUCAAAGGUCAGACGCCAGCCAGUAAGAUAAAUAUAGUUUAUUCAAAAACAGGAGUCAAAUACAGGAAACCCAAUGGCGCCCAACAACACCUUGCCACAUGCAAGGGACAAUGGCCACAAAACCCCAAUUUAUUUAGGUUUCCUUGGAUAUCCAAACAACCAACGCCUUAGGAUCAGGUGUCCCAAACUCCUCAUCAGAAUCCGAGCUCCAAACAGCCAACACCUUUGGAUCAGGCGUCCCAAGUUCCUCAUCAGAGUCAAAAUCACUCUGUCUAUGCCCAACCCUGUCCACACCUGUGGAAUUGCCCUCAUUCCUCCAGGCAGACCAUGUGGGGUCUGCUUCUGAAGAAACCCAAGCCUCUCCUGCAUCCUCAGCAUCCAUGGGCCCAGUCAAUGCCAACCCCUUCCGCCGCCACCGGGUCCUCCACAGUCAUUUCCACCUCAGGAUUCCCUUCCAACUCCCCAAAUGAAUCCUCAUCUGAAGUUUCCUCAUCUAUCUCCCUGACCCUCUUCCUAUGUAAAUCUUCCAGUGAGCCCUCCUCGUGAGGAUUAUUCCUUCCCCUCCUGAUCCUACCAUUAUCACACACAGCCUCAGAAGACUCAUUCACAACAAAAACACUGGCCUAUGAUUUUUCUGAAGAGUCUUGUAAGGGGCUCCAGGUCUCUGUCGCGAGCACUGCUUCUCCCUCAAAGGGGUUUGGUUCCCCCAAAAGGUCAAACAAUUUACAAUUAGGGGUCAAGCUUAAAUUGUUCAUAAAAAUACACAACCAUUUAAUAAUUGCUUCCCAUUUAAAAAAUUAUCUUCAGCUCCUGGGAGGUUUAUAGCCACUUGAACUUUUAAUGCCAAGUGGCUAAUUGCUCAGUGUCUCCUAUAUCACCUCCUGAAACAGAUGUUAAAUAAAAUCAUUCCUCAUUCCCUAAGAGAAAUCAGAUGUGGAUCACCAUAUUGUUUCUUUAAUAAUUCUGUACUGUGGAAAUAUGGGUUUAUGUGAACAAUAUGGAGGAAUAGAUUAAUAUAGAAUGAUUUCCUGAAUAAAGAUUUAUACCCAGUUGUAUGGCAAACUGGCUGUAUUUCACAGUUUCAUUAACAAGGAGGAAAUGCUUCAUUGAUUACAGACACACUUUCUUCUCUUGCAAUACUAAUCAAUAUGUAAGCAAAUGUAAAUGUAAAAUUACAACAUUGUGGGAUUAUGGGUCACACAGCAACAAAAAAUAAAUAAACUGGAACCUAAUGUACAUCUAAUUCAGAAAUGCAUUUUACCAGCCAUAAGCACCAAGCAGCUGAGUUACUUCUAUGAGCAUCAGGACUACUUGUGUUAUUUCAUCGGAGGUGGGCUGCAGUUAUAAAUAAAGUAAGUAAUUCUCAACACUUUGUAUUCUAUUUAGCCUUGUGUGGGCUAUGGCAUUUCUCUCUGUGACUCAGAACAUUGCUAUUUGUCUGAGAAAUGCUUAUAGGUGAAGUUAAUGUUUGUUGCAAUGAUGUGGAGGCAUUAAAACUUUCAACAAUGAGAGUUUUUUUCUGGAAUGAUGGUCUUAUCUUAUAAUCUCCUAUGUCAGCCUAAUAUAUAUUGCACAGAUAUAUUUAAGAUGUUUGAAUUAAUUGGCCAAAGUAUCUAGGAGCAAAAUCAUUUGGGAUUUCUUACACAGACUCCAGUUUGAAUAUCUAGAUUAUUAAAUGUUCAAGUAACAGAUCUGUCUCAUUUAGUAUUACUUCAUACAUUUUAUAUAAAACAUCACUUGCAUUGAUGUUGACCCAGAUAAUAUCCAAGGGAUUUUUUUCUAGAGGCUUUCAGAAUUAACAGAACUAUGAAAAAACAGACCAGGAGAAGGAAAGUACCAUUUAAAAUAUUCGACAAGACACAAAACAGCAUGUGACACAAUCAUCAGUUUCAGUAGGAAAAAAUAAGACGAAAUUUUGAAGAUAAACACCAAAAAAUCAAUAACAUACAGAGACAAGAGAAUUAUUAUAAUGAAGGAAAUAUCACAAAAAAGCCUUGACAAAAGAAGAAAAUAUUAUUUUUAAUGGAAGAAUUAACAAAGAAAAAAAAAUCUGCUUUAGGUGGGACAAAAUAGAAGGAAUCACAUUUACAUGGAAUGACAAGAGAUAUUGGCUAAACCAGAGGAAAAGGCCAAAACCUUUUAUAUGGAACAUAUCAAAGGGAAACCCAAAAACAUUUCCAAGAGAAA